Molecule: ribosomal RNA, 490 nt
Filed under: uncultured Gemmatimonadota bacterium
Lineage: Bacteria; Pseudomonadati; Gemmatimonadota
Description: bacterial SSU rRNA
Rfam family: Bacterial small subunit ribosomal RNA
Source: RNAcentral
AGAGUUUGAUCCUGGCUCAGGACGAACGCUGGCGGCGUGCCUAACACAUGCAAGUCGCACGGACCCGCAAGGGUCAGUGGCGAACGGGUGCGUAACACGUGAGGAACAUACCUAUCGGCGGGGGAUAGCCGGCCCAACGGCCGGGUAAUACCGCGUACGCUGUUCGAGGGGCAUCCCUUGGACAGGAAAGCAGCAAUGCACCGAUAGAGUGCCUCGCGGCCUAUCAGCUAGUUGGUGAGGUAAUGGCUCACCAAGGCUACGACGGGUAGCUGGUCUGAGAGGAUGAUCAGCCACAUUGGGACUGAGACACGGCCCAGACUCCUGCGGGAGGCAGCAGUGGGGAAUCUUGCGCAAUGGGCGAAAGCCUGACGCAGCGACGCCGCGUGUGGGAUGAAGGCCUUCGGGUCGUAAACCACUGUCGCGAGGGACGAAUAAAUUGACGGUACCUCGAAAGGAAGCACCGGCUAACUCUGUGCCAGCAGCCGCGGUA